CUACGGGUCGCAGCAGUGGGGAAUAUUGGACAAUGGACCAAAAGUCUGAUCCAGCAAUUCUGUGUGCACGAUGACGGUUUUCGGAUUGUAAAGUGCUUUCAACAGGGAAGAAGUUCUGACGGUACCUGUAGAAGAAGCGACGGCUAAAUACGUGCCAGCAGCCGCGGUAAUACGUAUGUCGCAAGCGUUAUCCGGAUUUAUUGGGCAUAAAGGGCAUCUAGGCGGCUUAGUAAGUCUGAUGUGAAAAUGCGGGGCUCAACUCCGUAUUGCGUUGGAAACUACUAAGCUAGAGUAUUGGAGAGGUAGGCGGAACUACAUGUGUAGAGGUGAAAUUCGUAGAUAUAUGUAGGAAUGCCGAUGACGAAGGUAGCCUACUGGACAAUUACUGACGCCGAAGUGCGAAAGCUAGGGGAGCAAACAGGAUUAGAUACCCUCGUAGUC
This 441-nucleotide ribosomal RNA is filed under the name uncultured bacterium. RNAcentral's name for it is "partial 16S ribosomal RNA". It matches the Rfam family "Bacterial small subunit ribosomal RNA", at positions 339 to 795 of the family's 1533-position model. The record is from RNAcentral.